GAUUCUGUAGUGUAGUGGUUAUCACGUGCGCCUCACACGCGCAAGGUCCCCGGUUCAAACCCGGGCAGAAUCA
This 73-nucleotide transfer RNA is filed under the name Acanthaster planci (crown-of-thorns starfish). RNAcentral's name for it is "tRNA-Val". It matches the Rfam family "tRNA". From Rfam's summary of the family: Transfer RNA (tRNA) molecules are approximately 80 nucleotides in length. Their secondary structure includes four short double-helical elements and three loops (D, anti-codon, and T loops). Lineage: Eukaryota; Metazoa; Echinodermata; Asteroidea; Valvatida; Acanthasteridae. The record is from Rfam by way of RNAcentral.